UUCAUGUCUUUUGUUUUAAAGAAUUAAAUGGAUGAAAUAUGAAGUUUUAUUAAAAGAAAAAGGGGUGAAAAGAACAAAGUUUUGUCCAUCUUUGUUCAUCAUAGCUGAAAGUUAGAGAAGAGAAAGGAGAGGAGAAAGCUCUUGAAUGCUCGGUCACUUGGGGAAGAAAAUUGAAGGUGGUUCGUGUGUGGAUCUCGUCAGCAUAUCGUCGCAAACAGGUAAUCCCCAAACAUAGUGGGCUUGAAGCUGUGAGGGAAUUCGGAGUGGCCACCUGUUCUGAAAGUUUGAUUUUCUUCUGGUGAACUGAACAUCCUUUUAUUUACGUUUGAAGUAUUGGGUUUUUAAAUGUAAUAAGGCCGCUUAAUUAUUUUUGAUGGUUUUAAUAUGUAUUACUAAGAUAGGUAUUACUUA
This is a long non-coding RNA of Gossypium arboreum, 411 nucleotides long. RefSeq lists it as uncharacterized. NCBI's taxonomy places the organism in Eukaryota, Viridiplantae, Streptophyta, Magnoliopsida, Malvales, Malvaceae. The record is from RefSeq and is a predicted model, not a curated record. The transcript has 3 exons.